Molecule: ribosomal RNA, 492 nt
Filed under: uncultured bacterium
Lineage: Bacteria
Description: partial 16S ribosomal RNA
Rfam family: Bacterial small subunit ribosomal RNA
Source: RNAcentral
AGUGAACGCUGGCGGUAGGCCUAACACAUGCAAGUCGAACGGCAGCACAGUAAGAGCUUGCUCUUACGGGUGGCGAGUGGCGGACGGGUGAGGAAUACAUCGGAAUCUACUUUUUCGUGGGGGAUAACGUAGGGAAACUUACGCUAAUACCGCAUACGACCUACGGGUGAGAGCAGGGGAUCUUCGGACCUUGCGCGAUUGAAUGAGCCGAUGUCGGAUUAGCUAGUUGGCGGGGUAAAGGCCCACCAAGGCGACGAUCCGUAGCUGGUCUGAGAGGAUGAUCAGCCACACUGGAACUGAGACACGGUCCAGACUCCUACGGGAGGCAGCAGUGGGGAAUAGUGGACAAUGGGCGCAAGCCUGAUCCAGCCAUACCGCGUGGGUGAAGAAGGCCUUCGGGUUGUAAAGCCCUUUUGUUGGGAAAGAAAAGCAGCAGGUUAAUACCCCGCUGUUCUGACGGUACCCAAAGAAUAAGCACCGGCUAACUUCGUG